ACCAAUCAGAGAGCAGCAUUGCGGUUGCAGAAAAGUUUGCUGCAAAAAAAAAGUUUUUUGGACGGAGACGAGAUUCGGUGUGAUCGGCUUAUCUAAAGCUUAAAAUUUCACGACUUCGACCGAGAUUAAACAGACCAUACUCGGCAGAUUGUGAGAUUGUGAUCAAUCAAGACGACAAACAUGGCUCACAUUUUUGAACUGCUGUGCCUUCUUGCAACAGAGUGAGAUUCAGCAACACAUAGGAAGACCACAGCAUGGAUUAAGAGACAAGAAGAAUCCAUUUGAAUGCUACAAGGAUGAACCUUUUAGAGUGGGCUACCAACAGAGAGAAACAACACAUUGCCUGACAUGUUACAUGUUUUGACAGGACUUUGUUUUUAUGCCAUUGGUACCUUUUAGAAGAUGCAAGCAGACAAAGCAACUAUAUCAUAGUCAUCCGUGUGCAGAAUCAUCAAAGAUUUUUCUGAGGCAAUGGCAAGGAGUAACAGUUAAUGAAGUGUCCGAUGACGAGAAAUUCAAACCACCCAGCGACAAUUUGAUGAUUGCUACAGGUUUCCAAGAGUCGUAGGUGCUAUCGAUUGGGGCCAUGUCUACAUCAGGAGUCCUGAUGGGGAACAAGCCCUGUACUUAGCAGGAAAAACAGGUCUUCUGUAAAUGUAUAGGUUGGUAUACACACUCAGUUUUCAAUUUGAUAUUCUCUGUAUUCAACACCUACUAGAUGUAUGUGAUAAUGAAGAAAACAUAUAUUGGCCCCUACUACAUACUGUAUUUAAUCAAAUUUCAAUCUUGUUGGUCAAAUUUUCUUGUAAUUUUAUACUCUUUAUAUGUGAAAUAAGACAAUUUUAAAGAUUUCACAGAAGAAAAAAAUAUAUAGAUAAUCUGCUAACUUUUGUAUUGCAGGAGAAAUGAAAAAUAGUAAAAAAAAAUGCAUUUUGCUCUUCAGGUAAAGGGGGUAUUAAUUGCUUGAUCAAUGAAGAUAUAUUUCCAGAAAGAAUAACGAAGAGCAAAUUUUUUAAUAUUCAUUUUGUUUUGAUCCUUAUUGCAGGUAUCCGUUGCUCCUCUCUUUGAUGAAUUCCUGCCUGCAUUCUGUUGUCAAUAGAAAAGGACCAUGUGCUUUGGGUAUUAAGCAUUCCAUUGGAUUAUCUGUGUAUGAAAGUGGACACUUGUGAUCACAAAAUGGUAGCUUAGUUGAUAGGAUGUAUUCAUGCAUUCCGAUUUAUCAUUAGUGAUCAAAUGACCAUCUUGCUUUUAAAAACCCAAAUUCACAACAUUUUUCUUGUUUGACAAAAGGUUUGGGAUGUGAAUUCCAGGAAAUAAAUGACACACACGAUGGGCUAAUGUAUAAGCAGGGAUGUGAGAGGUAUAAGCAACAUUUUGCUCAUGCUUAACUAAGUUUGGCAUGAGAUGGUCUUGGUCAUUCUUAUGAUUCAAGUCUAUUUUUAUACCAUUUUUUUUAAACAACAAUCAAUGUUUGAAGCCUCAUGAUUUCAAUAUCAAAACCUCUUUGUUAAUUAAAUGGUCAUAUUUCUAAGCAUAUGCAGCUUCCUAAUUUAUCAAAUUUAAAUUAUAUAUCAUUUUUGCUGAAUAUCCUUUUUUUCCCACCUAUUUUCAUAGGCACUAAGAUACAUUUCUGUAGUAAGCACUAUAUAUACAUUGCAAGCUAUUAUCAUUUGUUUGAUAUUACUAUUUUAUGAUAGAAUCAUCCUUUAAUUUCUUUCAGAAAUAUAAUUGCCUAAUUACCUGUGAUAUUCAUGCUUUAGCUGUAGAGUUUAAAAUCUUGACUAAACUUUUUUUAAUCCAUUGUUUAUCUGUUUUUAUUCAGAGUUUCUGAUGCAUUGUUAAGAAAAUGUAAACAGUCUAUUCAAUCUUCGUAUCAUUAUGUAAAGAAUUUCAAUCUACUUU
This is a long non-coding RNA of Lytechinus variegatus (green sea urchin), 1902 nucleotides long. RefSeq lists it as uncharacterized. The record is from RefSeq and is a predicted model, not a curated record. The transcript has 4 exons. NCBI's taxonomy places the organism in Eukaryota, Metazoa, Echinodermata, Echinoidea, Temnopleuroida, Toxopneustidae.